This 27-nucleotide non-coding RNA is filed under the name Mus musculus (house mouse). Lineage: Eukaryota; Metazoa; Chordata; Mammalia; Rodentia; Muridae. The record is from RNAcentral.
UAGUGUUAAGCACACAAGACGAAACCU